GGGAAGGAUGAGAAGCUUCGACUAAGGUUCGACUCGAGCGAAGCGAGAGAACGUUGCCGCAGGCAACGGCCCGAAGGGCGAGGCGCUUUAGCGCCGAGUAAUCCUUCCCCCACCACUG
RNAcentral lists this small RNA (118 nucleotides) under Klebsiella pneumoniae. RNAcentral's name for it is "RtT sRNA". It matches the Rfam family "RtT RNA", at positions 15 to 130 of the family's 130-position model. Rfam says of the family: This family represents a bacterial cis-regulatory element known as RtT RNA. The exact function of RtT is unknown although it is thought that it may be involved in changing the cellular response in relation to amino acid starvation. The record is from RNAcentral. Lineage: Bacteria; Pseudomonadati; Pseudomonadota; Gammaproteobacteria; Enterobacterales; Enterobacteriaceae.